AGUGAACGCUGGCGGUGGGCCUAACACAUGCAAGUCGAACGGCAGCACAGUAAGAGCUUGCUCUUACGGGUGGCGAGUGGCGGACGGGUGAGGAAUACAUCGGAAUCUACUUUUUCGUGGGGGAUAACGUAGGGAAACUUACGCUAAUACCGCAUACGACCUACGGGUGAAGGCAGGGGAUCUUCGGACCUUGCGCGAUUGAAUGAGCCGAUGUCGGAUUAGCUAGUUGGCGGGGUAAAGGCCCACCAAGGCGACGAUCCGUAGCUGGUCUGAGAGGAUGAUCAGCCACACUGGAACUGAGACACGGUCCAGACUCCUACGGGAGGCAGCAGUGGGGAAUAUUGGACAAUGGGCGCAAGCCUGAUCCAGCCAUACCGCGUGGGUGAAGAAGGCCUUCGGGUUGUAAAGCCCUUUUGUUGGGAAAGAAAAGCAGCAGGUUAAUACCCCGCUGUUCUGACGGUACCCAAAGAAUAAGCACCGGCUAACUUCGUG
This 492-nucleotide ribosomal RNA is filed under the name uncultured bacterium. RNAcentral's name for it is "partial 16S ribosomal RNA". It matches the Rfam family "Bacterial small subunit ribosomal RNA", at positions 29 to 507 of the family's 1533-position model. The record is from RNAcentral.